AUAUAAAUCAAACAUUUAAAAUGUCAUACAGUAUAAUUUUUUUUUCAUUAUUUAUAAUAGUUUAGAUUAUAUAGCUAUUAUAAGAUAUAUUGUUAAAGGUAUCAAUGAUAUACAUGUGGCAUUGAAGUUGUUAGAAGCUGAUAUUUUACAUUUUAAAUAUGUUUCUUUUGUCUGAUUUUUUUUUGUGUUUGAUUAUGAAACCCCAUCUACUAUCAUAUUAAAACAGUUUACAAAAAGUGAUGUUACUAGAACUUAUAUUUUACUUAUGUAAAGCUUUCUAAUAUUCCAUCAUUCCGAAGCAGAGGGACAUUAUUCUUGGUUUAAUUAUUUUUUAAUUUAAUAUCUCUGGAUAUUUUUCAUAUUUAGUUUGUGUACAACAGUUAACAACUUUAAGCUUAUACAUUAACUUUAGUUAUAACUUAAUUAAUAAUGAUUUGAUUUAUAGAUUUUUAAAGCAACACAAGAUUGAAUUUAGCAUAAGGAUAAAUUUCUGCUCUGGAGACAAAAAAAGAAAGACAGCGAAAAUGACCAGUCAAAAUAAAGAUUGAAGAGACAAAAAAUUGUGUAUAUGUUGGUGUAGAUGAUUUAUCCUCAUUUUCUUAUAAUAAAACAAAAAAUAUUAUUAAACUUUGGAAAAAUAUUAUUAAACCUAGGGAUUUACCUGUAACUCCAAAAUCUUUACAGAAGUUUAAUGUUUGCUCUGAGAAGUUGAAUGAACAAAUUUAUUAAAUGUGUUCAUUCUUAGUCGUCAUUGAAGUACAACUUGGUAAACUACAAAACACACCAAAUUCAGUUAUUAAAAUUUGAGUAACAAAGGUAUACUAAUUAUUGUAUUGCCUGAAAGAGUGUCAUUGCUAUUAAAAGCAGUGAAGAAUUCAAGUACUCUGGAAGAAAAGAAAAUAAGUAAGUAAAUGGUCAAUUAUUUGGCACAAAUCGGAGUUAAAGACAAAGGAGAUUGUAUAUUUUAUUUGCUAAGAAUAGUUUUUUAAAAUGGCCUAGUUGUAAAAUUAAACAAUGCAGGGAGAGGACAAAAAACUGGAAUAGAAAAAUGUUGAUUACAUAUGCUGCUAUUGAAACUGUGAAGUCAAAUAAGCAUGGCUUAUGCAGACUUGUGAUAGAGAUAGAGGAA
Non-coding RNA from Hydra vulgaris (swiftwater hydra), 1129 nucleotides. Lineage: Eukaryota; Metazoa; Cnidaria; Hydrozoa; Anthoathecata; Hydridae. The record is from RefSeq and is a predicted model, not a curated record.